RNAcentral lists this long non-coding RNA (836 nucleotides) under Gossypium barbadense (sea-island cotton). RNAcentral describes it as "long non-coding RNA (GBAR_LNC015295)". The record is from RNAcentral. Lineage: Eukaryota; Viridiplantae; Streptophyta; Magnoliopsida; Malvales; Malvaceae.
UCUUUUUCUUCCCGACAACAUCAAUGAAAGCAUUAAACGAAGUAUGAAGUCUAAAAUGUCAUUAAAUGUGCCAGAUCGUAAAAAUGUGCCUAUAAAACUUCCUUCAUGGUUUACCAGUAAAUAUCAAAGCCUUCGUUGCAGAGUUCUGCUCCUUAGUAUUUAGUGAGUUUCAUAUAUUUCUUCUUAACCUGAUAAGCACCGAAAAGCAAUGGCAUUUUUUAAGAAUGCUUCAUUAUCAAGAUUUUCGUUGGGUUUUUCCAGCAACAUUAACAUGGAGGGUGACACCGAAAUCAUGGCAUUGAUCCAGUUUGCUGGGUUCUCUCUUCUUUUUCUGUUCAAGCUAUUGCUUGAUUACAUCAAACGAAGAAACCGUGCCAGCACUGUGGCUCCAAAUCAUCUUGCUGCUAUCCCUGCGGCCGCUGUGGCUCCAAAUCAUCUUGAUACUAUAUCUGUGGUGGUCGACGUUGACCAGAUGACUUGAUAUGUAUGGUUCGUUUCUCUUCCCUUUCUAGCUUUUUUAUAAAGCAUAUAAUAUUUAUUAUAAUUUAAUCAAAUUAAUUUUAUUUUAUUAUUAAAAAAAAAAUUCAAUGUAUUUAUCUGCAGACCACUCGAGCGGGUGGUACGGUAGCUCCGGUCGGAGGAGUUUGAAGGUCUUUGGAAUAUAGUCGGGUGUUUAUGCUGCUACAUUUUUUUUUUUUUUGCUUUUGGUGGUUCGUAAGUAGGUUUACGUAAGACUUUGUGCUUCGUCCUAUGAUGCAAAAAUGGAUUGAACUUAUUUGAUUGCUUUGGCUUUAAUUAUGAUUUGGGUGUUUCUGGUUUUAAUUGCAUUGUGCUCC